AGCGAACGCUGGCGGCAGGCCUAACACAUGCAAGUCGAACGAACUCUUCGGAGUUAGUGGCGGACGGGUGAGUAACACGUGGGAACGUGCCUUUAGGUUCGGAAUAACUCAGGGAAACUUGUGCUAAUACCGAAUGGGCCCUUCGGGGGAAAGAUUUAUCGCCUUUAGAGCGGCCCGCGUCUGAUUAGCUAGUUGGUGAGGUAACGGCUCACCAAGGCGACGAUCAGUAGCUGGUCUGAGAGGAUGAUCAGCCACAUUGGGACUGAGACACGGCCCAAACUCCUACGGGAGGCAGCAGUGGGGAAUCUUGCGCAAUGGGCGAAAGCCUGACGCAGCCAUGCCGCGUGAAUGAUGAAGGUCUUAGGAUUGUAAAAUUCUUUCACCGGGGACGAUAAUGACGGUACCCGGAGAAGAAGCCCCGGCUAACUUCAUGCCAGCCGCCGCCGUAA
RNAcentral lists this ribosomal RNA (449 nucleotides) under uncultured bacterium. RNAcentral's name for it is "partial 16S ribosomal RNA". It matches the Rfam family "Bacterial small subunit ribosomal RNA", at positions 29 to 523 of the family's 1533-position model. The record is from RNAcentral.